AUACGUGACAGGCCUCCUCUGCCUUUGUUUCUAGAGCUGCUGCCAGCCUGCUGCUGCCUCUCCACGCUUUGCCUGAGGCCAGAGAAUCCCACAGACGAUGCUAUUUCAUGGCAUCACUCUUUGAACCACUGCAAGCUUCCUUGUAUAGCCCCCAAAACACAGGAAAGGCUGCAUUUUAGCUGGGCCGGCUUCGAGACCAAGACGCAGUUGAUGCACUUCACAAUGUACUAAUUUGUUGUUCACUCCAUGAACAAAAACUGAGGCCUACUAGGUUCCCCAGAGCUGCUCAAGAUGCCAGAGCCAUGGAGGGGGGUGAGGGGAAGGGCAAGAAGGUGCCCAUAGUGCUUAUAAUGUAGGAAAGGGGGACAGGGACGGGCAGACAGGAAAAGAAGGGAAAAGGCAAGCAGAGAACAAGGUUGUGAAAAGUGCUCUGUAGCCCGGGCGAGAGAGAUGUCGGUGACUCCGAGUAAGGCAUGAUAUCAGCAUUACAGGGAAGGGCUCUGACUCAGUGUGAUCUCAAAGUUGAUAGGAUUGCUCAAAGAUUAAGUAUUCAGACUAAAAGAAAGAGGGAGGGACCAGGAUAAAUUAAAUUAUCAGCUGGUUUACUGAGAAAACUCAGAGAAGAAGACAUUCAGGGAGACACCAAGCCAGGGAGGUGACAAGUAUGUGGUAAAAUCCGAGCACGCAGAAUUUGGGGGAACAGGACUCUAGACUGCCUCUAGAGAGAGCUGUAUUGAAGGCCCUGCGACCCAGCACAGAGAAGGGAAUGGUGCUCUAGGUCCCUGCCUCUGCAGAAGACAAAUCCAGGAAGAGAACCAGGAAACUGCAGAGUAGCCAGCCACAUGCGAGAAAAAUCUGAAGGAGACGAAAAUGUUUCAGGAGAAAGGGCUUUUCAACUGGUGCAUAAUUUAGGUUAAAGUUUCUGAGCAGCUCUGGACUGCAAAAGGGCCUCCCUUCACUGAGCAGAUGUAUAUGACCCCGUGCUUCUCCGAUUCAUACCAAACUUCAGAGAAACUCCGGGAAAGGUUCCUUCUGUAUUUAUGGAUGAGAAUUAUGUGAAGCCUCUACAACCAUCGUAGUUCAUAUCUCCAGAGAGAGGUAUAAUUUGCAGUGAAGUGCACAAAUCAGUGAAAUUUUACGUAUGCAACCUUUAUCACUCACCACCCAAACCAGAGUGGUGUCUUCCCAACACCCCAGGGCCUCUAGUCCUUUUCCAGCGUUGCCUGAAGACACAAACUACUGAUGGCUGCAUCCACAUGACUGACUUCAAACACAGCACGCUGCAGGAGAAAAGCCGGAUACGCGCGUGGAAAGUGGGUGGCUCCACCACCCUGCUGUUCAGGUUUUCUUUCUGAAAGUUCUUUUGGCUUUAUUAUGGAAUAGAGGUUACAGAAAGGCAAAAGCUUUGGCCGUAGCGGGUGGGAAGAUCUUCCUUACCCUGGAGGAGGAAGUAGGGUCUCCGUAAUGUAUGUGUGGUACUCAGGGCUCCCGGCAGCCCGAAGCCAGAGUGUGUCCUCACCCUGCCCCGGGUCAGCCCUGUGACCUGGAGGGAGCAACUGAAAAGCUCUGGGCCUCGGAUUCCUCAUCUGUGAAAUGGGGAUGCUAACAGUGCUACCUCCUCUGGUUGGUUUGUGGCAGAGGACACAUGAGGCAACCUGUGUAAAAUGCUUGGAGGGUGGCCAGUGUGGUUACCAUGGAGAUUGACUGGUACCGUCUUCCACAUCCUGUGUUGACUAAGCGCGCACACCAGAAUACAGUUCCAAACGAUUAUCAAACAUGAAUACAAUUCAGAAAAUAAACAUGCAGCAAAACUUGCCAUAAAGAUUGCAUGAAACUAUCACUUUAAGAAAAAUACAUUAAAAAUUACCUUAAAUACCGAAAAGUACUUUUGUAAGUAAGGAUCAGUCCAAUAAAUUUAACCUGUAUUUGAAUCAGUGUAAAA
Molecule: long non-coding RNA, 1942 nt
Filed under: Homo sapiens (human)
Lineage: Eukaryota; Metazoa; Chordata; Mammalia; Primates; Hominidae
Description: HSALNT0355835
Source: RNAcentral